RNAcentral lists this ribosomal RNA (751 nucleotides) under uncultured bacterium. RNAcentral's name for it is "bacterial SSU rRNA". The stretch from base 1 to 630 matches the Rfam family "Bacterial small subunit ribosomal RNA", at positions 900 to 1533 of the family's 1533-position model. The record is from RNAcentral.
CUCAAAGGAAUUGACGGGGGCCCGCACAAGCGGUGGAGCAUGUGGUUUAAUUCGAUGCAACGCGAAGAACCUUACCUACCCUUGACAUGUCGCGAAUCUUUCAGAGAUGAGAGAGUGCCUUCGGGAGCGCGAACACAGGUGCUGCAUGGCUGUCGUCAGCUCGUGUCGUGGGAUGUUGGGUUAAGUCCCGUAACGAGCGCAACCCUUAUCCUUAGUUGCCAGCGGUUCGGCCGGGAACUCUAGGGAGACUGCCGGUGAUAAACCGGAGGAAGGUGGGGACGACGUCAAGUCAUCAUGGCCCUUAUGGGUAGGGCUACACACGUGCUACAAUGGUCGGUACAAAGGGCUGCGAACUCGCGAGAGCCAGCCAAUCCCAUAAAGCCGAUCGUAGUCCGGAUUGCAGUCUGCAACUCGACUGCAUGAAGUCGGAAUCGCUAGUAAUCGCGGAUCAGAAUGCCGCGGUGAAUACGUUCCCGGGCCUUGUACACACCGCCCGUCACACCAUGGGAGUGGGUUGCAAAAGAAGUAGGUAGUUUAACCUUCGGGAGGGCGCUUACCACUUUGUGAUUCAUGACUGGGGUGAAGUCGUAACAAGUAGCCCUAGGGAACCUGGGCUGGAUCACCUCCUUAAUAGACAGAACACGAUCUACGUACUCACACAAAUUAUUCGAUUAAAGACCACUGGUCUGUACUCAGUGGUUAAGCGACCCUGAUAAGGUGAGUCGGAGCCAAUCUCCAACCACACCCAUGG